CGUUGAUUACGUCCCUGCCCUUUGUACACACCGCCCGUCGCUACUACCGAUUGAAUGGCUUAGUGAGGUCUUCGGAUUGGCUUUGGGGAGCCGGCAACGGCACUCUAUUGCUGAGAAGUUGAUCAAACUUGGUCAUUUAGAGGAAGUAAAAGUCGUAACAAGG
RNAcentral lists this ribosomal RNA (163 nucleotides) under Pterulicium echo. Its description in RNAcentral is "Pterula echo partial small subunit ribosomal RNA". It matches the Rfam family "Eukaryotic small subunit ribosomal RNA", at positions 1639 to 1799 of the family's 1831-position model. Lineage: Eukaryota; Fungi; Basidiomycota; Agaricomycetes; Agaricales; Pterulaceae. The record is from RNAcentral.